CACUUCUAAGGAAGGCAGCAGGCGCGCAAAUUACCCAAUCCUGACUCAGGGAGGUAGUGACAAGAAAUAACAAUAAACCGGCUUAUGCCGGUUUAAUUGGAAUGAGUACAAUUUAAACAUCCUAACGAGGAACAAUUGGAGGGCAAGUCUGGUGCCAGCAGCCGCGGUAAUUCCAGCUCCAAUAGCGUAUACUAAAGUUGUUGCAGUUAAAAAGCUCGUAGUUGGAUUUCUGUGGGGACGGAGCGGCCGGCCGCAACACGCGGUUCGAGCUAGCGCUUUCCCUACAUCCUGCCGCGAACCGUGCUACCAUUAGUUUGGUGGCGCCGGGGAUCGGCUCGAUUACUUUGAGAAAAAUAGAGUGUUCAAAGCAGGCCACACGCCUUGAAUAAGUUAGCAUGGAAUAAUAACUAAGGACUUCGGUUCUAUUUUGUUGGUGUUCGGGACUGAAGUAAUGAUUGAUAGGGACAGUUGGGGCGGUCUGUAUUCCAAAGCGAGAGGUGAAAUUCUUAGACCUUCGGAAGACAAACAGCUGCGAAAGCGUUCCGCAAGGAUGUUCCCUUUGAUCAAGAACGAAAGUUGGGGGAUCGAAGACGAUCAGAUACCGCCGUAGUCUCAACUAUAAACUAUACCAGCUAGGGAUCGGCCAACGUUAUUCUAUACCGACUUGGUCGGCACCUUAUGAGAAAUCAAAGCAUCUGGGUUCCGGGGGGAGUAUGGUCGCAAGGCUGAAACUUAAAGGAAUUGACGGAAGGGCACCACCAGCCGUGGAGCCUGUGGCUUAAUUUGACUCAACACGGGAAAACUUACCAGGUCCAGACAUAGUAAGGAUUGACAGAUUGAUAGCUCUUUCUUGAUUCUGUGGGUGGUGGUGCAUGGCCGUUCUUAGUUGGUGGAGUGAUUUGUCUGGUUAAUUCCGUUAACGAACGAGACCCCAGCCUGCUAAAUAGCGCGCGUGAGCUUUGCUCGCGGCGAGCUUCUUAGAGGGACUAUGAUGCGCGAUAGCACAUGGAAGUUUGGGGCAAUAACAGGUCUGUGAUGCCCUUAGAUGUUCUGGGCCGCACACGGGCUACACUGGCGCCUGCAACGAGCAUAUCAGCUGGCCCGAGAGGGUCUUGGCUAAUCUUUUGAACCGGCGCCGUGCUUGGGAUUGACCUUUGCAAUUGUUGGUCAUGCAACGAGGAAUGCCUUGUAAACGCGAGUCAUCAGCUCGCAUUGAAUACGUCCCUGCCCUUUGUACACACCGCCCGUCGCUCCUACCGAUGAAUGUUCCGAUGAAAUUUUCGGAGAGUGCCUGUGAACUUGGCUCUGCCUUGCGAACGGGAAGCUCAAAGUCACUUAAAUCUGAACAUUUCGAGG
RNAcentral lists this ribosomal RNA (1356 nucleotides) under uncultured marine eukaryote. RNAcentral describes it as "SSU rRNA". It matches the Rfam family "Eukaryotic small subunit ribosomal RNA", at positions 411 to 1779 of the family's 1831-position model. The record is from RNAcentral.